This 428-nucleotide ribosomal RNA is filed under the name uncultured marine bacterium. Its description in RNAcentral is "bacterial SSU rRNA". It matches the Rfam family "Bacterial small subunit ribosomal RNA", at positions 8 to 433 of the family's 1533-position model. The record is from RNAcentral.
AGAGUUUGAUCAUGGCUCAGGAUGAACGCUAGCGGCAGGCCUAAUACAUGCAAGUCGAGGGGUAAGAGUCAGCUUGCUGACUACACGACCGGCGCACGGGUGAGUAACGCGUAUGCAACCUACCUUUAACAGAGGAAUAGCCCCGAGAAAUCGGGAUUAAUACCACAUAACAUUAUGAUAUGGCAUCAUAUUAUAAUUAAAACUCUGGUGGUUAAAGAUGGGCAUGCGUGACAUUAGCUUGUUGGUGAGGUAACUGCUCACCAAGGCAACGAUGCCUAGGGGUUCUGAGAGGAUGAUCCCCCACACUGGUACUGAGACACGGACCAGACUCCUACGGGAGGCAGCAGUAAGGAAUAUUGCGCAAUGGAGGAAACUCUGACGCAGCCAUGCCGCGUGCAGGAUUGAAGGCCUUAUGGGUCGUAAACUGC